Molecule: long non-coding RNA, 114 nt
Organism: Cebus imitator (Panamanian white-faced capuchin)
Lineage: Eukaryota; Metazoa; Chordata; Mammalia; Primates; Cebidae
Exons: 2
Source: RefSeq, a predicted model, not a curated record
GAGGCAGGAGAAUCGCUUGAGUCCGAGAGGUGGAGGUUGCAGAGAGCCGGGAUCUCGCCAUUGCACUCCAGCUUGGGCAACAAGAGCGAAACUCCGUCUCAAAAAAAAAAAAAA